GCUUUUUUUUUCUUUUUCUUUCCUCCCUUUAAAAAAAUAAAUAGUAAAAGGAGCGCGGCGGCGGAGCGGCGCGGACCAGCGCGGCGAGCUGCCCCCGCCCGCCCGGGGCCGGGGAUGGUUUCCAAGCCGCCGUGCGCGGAUCCCAGUGCCGGGCUGGCUGCGGAGCGCGCCGCUUGGAGCGUGGCCGCGCUCGGCGCCUUCGCUCUAAUGAUUUUAAUUGCGUGGUUUUUGCUUUGAGUGAACUAAAGCGAGUGCGAUUACUUCUUCUUUUUUUUUUUUCUUUCUUUCUUUCUUUCUUUCUUUUUUUUUUCCCCGGUUUCACCAAAAGGCGGUCAGCAUCAGUUAUUCAGACGUAACGUACCUACCAAAGGUAUACGCUGCCUGCAAGCGCUCUGAAUGCCACUUCUUUAGAGGAGCCCAACUUCGGUGCUCAGAAGUUUAAGUCUCCUGAGAACGUUUUUUCUGAGCGAUUCCAGCUUCCAGACACAUUUGCCAUGAUAAGGGUUUCGAUCCUUUCCCGUGCUUGCUCUGAGCCAUGAGUGGAUAUGUGUGAUGCCUGCAAGUAAAACUGCAUCUUUUUUGGUAGCUGGCAUCAGGUGGGCUAGUCCUUCUUCACGUGAGCUGCUGCGCUYGAGCUCGUGGGAGCUCUUUGGGCCUCUCCGGUCGCUCGCUGUGCAGAUGGUGCCCUGUCCUGAGAAGAUCCCUUCCGGUCACCCCCCAGCAAAGAGACGUAUCAAACUGAUUUUGUUCUCGCAGAGUAAUAGGUCUGUGGUUUCCUCGGGCCCGUCUGCCCUUUGCCAUGCCCCCAUGCUACCUUCCCAACUCCUUGUCACCUUUCAUUUGCGGUGUAGUCGUUUUUCAGGUGACGCUAAUUGCRUUGCGCUCAUCGGGGACUUAAUAAAGGCGUGAUGACUAGGACAGUGCCCUGAGAGAUGAAGUCCCCCCGCUGCCAAGCGCCGGGUUUCGUGCGCUGGAGGAAGUGGGCUCGGGCCGUACCUGCGCACCUGGGCYGUGCGGUGGCUCUUCUGGGGAGCUGAAACGUGGUGGCCUUGAGCUUCUGGGAGGCCCCAAAUCAGCAAGAGCAAAGUAAAAGAUGCUUUCAAACAAUUCAUGCUGAAAUUAAGCAUUUUUUCCCAAGACAGUAGUAGUUAAGAAUUUGAUAAAACACUAAAACCUAGCCGCAGAGAACUAGGUGUGAAAUAAGAAAAGGCUUAUAACUUCAUUAGGCAAUCACAGUCAUCUACAGGUACUUUAAAUAGGAAGGGUUUUAUUUUAAUUAUUUUUACAGGGUAGGAGGAAUAUAAAUUCUCUUGCUUUAGGACAGAGCUAGCAAAGGGUUAGGCAGCAAUCCCUUUUCUCCAGAGAGAAAAAUUGUCUGUUAAAUGCUUUUUUUCUACUUUUCUCUGAAAACUGGCCUGGGCCAUUGCCAUAAGGAAAGGAUGUUGGCCUAGAUGGGGUCUGACCUUCCCUCUUCUGGGUGCUGAUGAGAGCUCUGCCCUUUUUCUUCCAUUUUGAAUACUCAAAUAGAAUUAAAAUGAAAACAGCUAUUAAAAGCAGGAGUUGAACACGCAACCAGGAGCUUAACCUGUGUCAGGUAUCGAGCCCCCUGGGAUCUCGGUAAUAAUCCCUGCCCGUUGGAAGCAGUCCCGGCGCGGGGUGGUGCCGUGGUGGGAGCCCUUGCGUGCGGCGGCUUUCUGGGGCAAUACACACGUGGCUGCAGAACUUAAAAAAAUUUGCUUCUCUUUUUAGCACAGUGUCUUUUAAAGGUGUUAUAUUUGUUUCCAUUUUGUGUUAAAUUAAAAUUAAACGGUUCAACUGUGUAGAUUUAAUCCUGUACGAAUAUAUUUAAUUUUGAAUCCUUUUAGCCUAUGUAUAUGUGACUAAGAUAAAAGCAAGAGUAGGGGGCUCU
This 1909-nucleotide long non-coding RNA is filed under the name Apteryx rowi (Okarito brown kiwi). RNAcentral's name for it is "lncRNA (ENSARWG00000018732.1)". Lineage: Eukaryota; Metazoa; Chordata; Aves; Apterygiformes; Apterygidae. The record is from RNAcentral.